Sebastes umbrosus (honeycomb rockfish) is the source of this 213-nucleotide long non-coding RNA. RefSeq lists it as uncharacterized. The record is from RefSeq and is a predicted model, not a curated record. The transcript has 3 exons. NCBI's taxonomy places the organism in Eukaryota, Metazoa, Chordata, Actinopteri, Perciformes, Sebastidae.
CAUCUAAAAGGUCUGCAAAGUUACAAAGUCCAAUUUACUCUCCCCCACAGAAACACUGCUCCUGAACUACCAGACACGCCUCGCUUGAAGACCCGCCUUUUCUCUUUGUAACGUGGUGAUGUCACAAAGUAACACAUUUGCACAAUAGAGUGCUCCAGGAAUGAGUCCUAAAACCUGGAAAUGAGUUAGUAUUUUAGCACAUACGGUUCACUU